GUAACAGUCCCUAUCACCUUGAAAAUGCCCAAUCUCGUCUGAUCUCAUAAACUAAGUAGAUUUGGGUCUGAUUAGUACUUGGAUGAGAGACCACUGGGAACACCAAGAGCAGCAGUGGUU
RNAcentral lists this ribosomal RNA (120 nucleotides) under Periophthalmus magnuspinnatus. Lineage: Eukaryota; Metazoa; Chordata; Actinopteri; Gobiiformes; Gobiidae. The record is from RNAcentral.